CUCAAAACCAAAAUGCUCAAAGAUAAUGGGGUGUGUAUAUAUAGACAUAUAUUUAAAUUUAUAAGUUGUUGUGAAGAUACUGUUUGUUUAUAGAAGCUUACUUUGAAAACUAAGCUUGGUUUCUGAGUUAACCUGACCAGUUGUCAAUGAAAAAAAAUAGAAGUAGAUUAAUUUCAGUUAUGAUUAAUGGUAUGUUAAAAAGAAUGAAGAAAAACAACCCCAAACUUUGCUCUAAUAUGUUACACUAUUUGGAUCUUGAAAAGACUGGAAUUUUCCAGGCCUAGUUCUCUUAAGACGUCAAUUUUUAAAAGUAAAUCUCUUCUCUUUUGAAGCCUAUUCUUCUUACCUUGUGCCUCGUUUAAGUUCCCCUAGCUCUAAUAGCAUCAUUUUCAUUUUCUGCCUCUUUAUUCUCCAAGUGGUGUGCUGCUUCACUGUGUACACUUAGUGCCUAUACAGAUAUAUUUUUAUUUCUGCCCUGACAGUGACUCACUGGAAAAAAGAGAACUCAUUUUCAAGAUGAAAUGAAAAAAUGCCAUUACUGUGCUAAAUCAAAGAAAUUGUUAUUUUUGCUCUUUCUAAUGUGAAGCAAAAGCUGGACAAAUGCAAUUUUCAAAAGGAGAUCCUGCUCUCCAUUAUGAGUAUUCCUGGAAUCAGUAGCUACUGGUAACACAUGCAAUGUUUAUUUCAUAAUCUUUGCUCAUUUUCGGAGACGUUCUGGGGGGAAUGUUGCUUUUCUAUAAGACUGAGCAGAGACACUCAAACAGCCUUAUCAUACCGCCUAAUAACUUCUUAUCACUGGGGCCUCCUGAUGCUUUUGAACUUCCUUGCUUCUGAUAGUGCUGCUCAUUGAAGCUCGAUCUCUUAUUUAAAAAUGAAUAUAUCAAGGAUGAAUGAAGACAUUCCACUUGAAGGGACAUUGACUUGAUACUUUCUAAACACAGAAUUAAUGGAAAAACCUAAAGAUGACACAACAUGUUUGUCUGUAUCUCUUUCAGGUGAUACUUUUGGGUUCAGUAAAGCUGCAGAUCAUUACUUUAUGUAGUUUUACAAUCCAUUUCUUUGGGAUUGGCAAACAGCUGAAUGCUGCACUUCUACCCAUUAACUCUAGAAUUGCUAAAUUAUUUGUUAUGGUGUGCCAGUAUCCAGACAUAUAUCUGAACUAGAUUAAGCCCGAAUCCCUGAUCCUGUAAUUCCAGUGGUUUCUCCUUUGCAGUUCAGUAUUUGUCAGUGUUGGAAUCUGGUAUUGCAAAUUGAAGACUCACGAUUCAGUAAAUAAGGUUACUGAUUUGAAACACUUACAGGGUGGAAAGCAUUUCAAAGUACAUGUCUUAGUUUCACCUCAAAGUUCAAAGCAAAAAAGAACAGAUUGUAUGCAUAUACUUAUUUUAUGAUUAUUUUUUAAACCAUAUGAUCUAAAUUUUAGGAUUUUUUUUUCCAGGUUCUAUGGCCAGUGUGAAAAAAAAAAAAAAAACAAAACAAAAAACAGAGAGAAAAUAAAAUUUUCCUCCUAUCUCUGUUCCACUCUCAUUUUAAUACAUCUUCAGACUAAAGCAGUGACAUCUCAUUUUCGACUGAAGACGUUUGGAAAUGGAUCUCCUAAAAAGAUGUCAGCAAACAGGCAAAUAAACACAGAAUGCAUAUCUAAGCUACUGGAUGUUUACAAAAGGUACUGCAGAAGGGAAAAUGUACCAGAUGAAAUGGAAAUUAUUUCAUGAAUCACCUCACGAUUUCACAGAAAUAAGGGAAGUAUUAUUACUGAUUAUUCUCCAUAAAACAAGUUUAAAAACAUACCAUCGUCUAAAAAGGAAAAGUGAAAGGUUUCUAAAUUGGAUAUUUCAAUAUUGCUAAUGAGAACGAAGUGAGCUGAUGAAUGUUGAAUCAUUCCUUGACAGUUUUUAAACAAAUAUUAUCAUUCAUUCUCUUUCCUGCAUCGACAGAUGAUGUUUCUUGUUCAAAUGAGGCUUCCUGACUUUUGAUAAAGGCUGCUGAAAAUAGCACUCCCCUUCCCAAGCUGUAUAUUCACCUCUAGCAUAUACUGACAUACUGACAGGGAAUGAAAAUUUGGGAUGCUCUGCAGUGUUCUGCCCUUUCAUGAAGGGUUUGUCUUGUGUGUGAAGUAUGAUGUACACCAUGGUAUCACUAUAUCACAUUACCCGGUGAUGAAUUUAGAAGCUGCCACUGCUGUCUAAUUCAGCAAUCCAUUUUGAAAUUGAGUAGCCUCUUCUCUCCCUUAAAAGUAGGGCAUCAUUAAAUUAAAGUAACCUAUUGUGUGCAGCAGACUAGGCAAGAAGUGGGUGAUGUUCUCCUGCCUUCAGCUGUCUGUCCCUGCCUGCUGGCUGCUUUCAAAUGGAGGAGACAAGUCUGAUGGGCUGCUUAAACUCGUUCCUUCACUUCCCUCCAUUCUUAGCCUCCACAGAGGGCAGACUUGGGACUGUAAAGAACAGCUGCUUACCUCACUGAUGCUUUAUAUACUGAUUUAAGUGUGUAUAUGCUCACUUUUAUAUCUUGUUUAUUCAUUACUGUGGAAGGCUAUAGGAAGUUGGAGGUGAGGAGAUGCUUUCCUGCAGGGGGAAAGUUGCAAGGUACAAGACUGAAAAUGGAUUUUGGAUUUGUGGAGCAGGCUGUGUGUAAGCAAAUGCACUUGGAUUCCGUGCUGGCUUUCUCCCGUUACACAGUUUUUGCAUUGUUCUUGAUCAAAAUGGAUGGAAAAUACUGAGGGUGUUCACUUGGUUUUGCUAUAAUUGCUAUAAACAUUCUAAAUAGUGCUUUGGUUAAUAGUCAGAAGGACAAAUGGGAAGGAAGCCAUCAGGUGGGUAGUCAGGUAGAGACACUUUGUUUGCGUUUACUGUAAGAGCACAUUGGAAAUAUUGUUAAUUUAACAUCAACCAUCUAAAGAUAGCACCAAUUCUAAUUUCAUCAGCAGGUGAGUGUGAAAAAUCGGCCAAUGUUUUCAAUGUAGAAGUGGAAAAAUAAAAAAAUAGAAAGCCAGUUAUGUAUUAAUUGUGAUAGAGCACUAUCUGAAUUUGAAGAGCUAGAAAUUCUGCCCAUUUCAUCGAGACUUGACCUAACAUUUCCCACUGCGAGUAGAAAAUAUUGAUAUAAUGCAUAGGAAUCAUUCUGUUUGUGGUGGGUUUUUGUGGUUGUUUGUCCUUUUCUUUCUUUCUUUUUUUUUACUAGCCGUUGCCCAUAUGGCCAGUUAAUUAUCCUUCUGCAGGCAGAAUUAUUUUAUUUAAUGAAUUUUUAAAUGUCAGUGACGUGAAAAACCAUUACUGUGGUUGUAAGUCCAUUACUCACCUUCAGCUUCUAUUUCCCAUCACCCCCCACUUUAGCUUUAAGGAGCAUCUGAAGUGACAGAGCUUUGAUUUCAGUUGAGAGUGCUGAGCACAGAAGUCUUACAAGUAAUACAUUAUUAAAAAAUCGUAGCAAGAAAAUUAAUUUCUACUAUCGUAUGCCAUGCUGGGUAUAUCACUUCUAACAAAUGACCUUUUUUUUUCAUAUAUUCAUUGGUAGAUUUACCAGGACAAAAUAAUUACUUUGUUUUCCACCUCUAAGAAAAAAAAAAAAGUCUUUUUCUUGUGCGUGUGUGGUUUUCUUGUUUUGUUUUUAAUUGAAAUAAGUACACAAAAUGGGUUCUAUAAGAUAAAAAGAAAAAGGAAAGAAAAAAGAAGGAACUGGAAAACCACACAGAAAUGAGGCACUGGCUCCCUGUCAUGUUGUCUGGUCAGUAAUAUUUCUUACUGUGAAAUUCCUGCAUGUUCGCAUGUUCAUGUUUAAAUCCUCCCAGAGAGAUUUUGCAUUGGAUCCUAGUUGAACUCAAGAAGGUAGAUGGUUAUGCGGUUUCUCAUAUUUCUUGCUUUUGAGAGGAACGUCUGUUUAUCCAGAGAGCCUUAUCUGGGCUUGGCGACGAGCACAUUCCGCAGCCAGAAGAAGGACCAGACAGGUAUUUGUCUCCUUUAUAGAAACAACUUCCUUGAGAGCUCCUGUAUAAACAUAGUUUCUAGCUGAGUGGAAUAGCAAAGAGGACAAGAGAUCAGCAGGCUGCUGAUUAAUGAGCUGUUGAGCGGUGUUGGAUGUUGUGAGUCUGCUGCACAUCUCUUCUUGAAAUGUAACAUAACGAGGUCGGCAGUGAUCAGCACACCCCUCACACUUCAUUAUUUGAUCUCUAAACUGUCAGCAGUACAGGCGGUAAACUACAAAUUGCAAGCAUUGCUUUGUGAUGUGCUUGGACACAUUUUUCAGCACUGCAGGAAAAAAAAAAAUAAUAAAAAUAGCACAGCCACUGAGUUACAAACAAAUAUAUUUUCUUUUUCUUAAUGGAGCUUGGAGCAAGGUCAGUAUACGUAGGUACACACUGAGAUCAUACAGAAAAGCUGAAGUCAAUACGUUCAGUAUAAGCUAAAGCUGGCUAGAACAUAAAUAUGGCAUUUGAUUAUAGAAAAGAAAUGCCAUACAAGUCAAUAUAGCAUUGAUCAAACUUACGGUUUCCAGCUCAGACAAUUCCGAAACAGUGUAUCAGACAGAUAAUUGUAUAAUCAUAAGGCUGAAAGCAGUGAGCCCACUCAUUGUCCGUGCUGGCUGCCUUUUGCCACAUGGGAGAUCCUCACAGCAAUUUUAGAAUACAGGCGUUAGAUCAGCAUCACUCAAGGAGAUGAGAGCAGACAUCUAUUGCUUUCUUAAACAGCUGAUUUAUUCUGCAUCCAUCAUAGGCUCUCUACAGCAGUUUAGCUUGAAAUUUAAAUCAAAAGGGGUCAGCUACUUAUUUUGCAUACAGAUGUAGUACUGACACAGGUUGUCUAGACAGAGGAAGCAAGGAAGAGAUUUGGUAGCAGUUAAAUACUUAAACCUAAGUGUUUGCAUAAGAAGAGUCUCAAGUGGUAUACACUGGUUGCAAAUGACUGAGUGUGAAGGGAUAUAAUAUAGUACAUUUCUUAGGAUGAGAAUAUAGAGAGAAAAUUAUUAACUGUCUUAGCAAGCUAGUAUCUGUGUCAUAUUUCCAGGCUGUGCCUAGAAACCCAUGGAAAUAGAUUGUCUGUAUGUUUUACAGGAAAUUGACCCAAAAAAAGGAAUUAAUAAAGCAACAAGUCAGUAAGUAGAUUCUAGACUGAGCUCAGAAAAUGCCAUUAGAGCAGUCUAAUUAUUUUCAUAUCUUAAAACAUAGAAUUUACAAGAAAUAAUUUUACUUUGGCUAACAGAUACUUUUGAGAAUUAUUGUUCGUGGU
This 5219-nucleotide long non-coding RNA is filed under the name Gallus gallus (chicken). Lineage: Eukaryota; Metazoa; Chordata; Aves; Galliformes; Phasianidae. The record is from RNAcentral.